GCCAGGCAUGGUGGUGCGUGCCUGUAAUCUCAGCUACUCAGGAGGCUGAGGCGGGAGAAUCGCUCGAACCCAGGAGGCAGAGGUUGCAGUGAGCCGAGAUGGCACCUCUGCACUCCAGCCUGGGUGACAGAGCGAGACUCUGUCUCAA
RNAcentral lists this non-coding RNA (148 nucleotides) under Gorilla gorilla gorilla (western lowland gorilla). The record is from Rfam by way of RNAcentral. Lineage: Eukaryota; Metazoa; Chordata; Mammalia; Primates; Hominidae.